UAAUACGAAGGGUGCAAGCGUUGUUCGGAUUUAUUGGGCGUAAAGGGCGCGUAGGCGGAUCGAUAAGUCAGAUGUGAAAUCUCGGGGCUCAACCUCGAAACUGCGUCUGAAACUGUCAAUCUAGAAUCUUGGAGAGGGAAGUGGAAUUUCGCAUGUAGGAGUAAAAUCCGUAGAGAUGCGAAGGAACACCAGAGGCGAAGGCGACUUCCUGGACAAGUAUUGACGCUGAGGCGCGAAAGCGUGGGGAGCAAACAGGAUUAGAUACCCUGGUAGUCCACGCCGUAAACGAUGAGCACUAGAUAUUGGUGGUAUUGACCCCAUCAGUGUCGCAGCUAACGCAUUAAGUGCUCCGCCUGGGGAGUACGGUCGCAAGACUA
RNAcentral lists this ribosomal RNA (377 nucleotides) under uncultured delta proteobacterium. RNAcentral's name for it is "bacterial SSU rRNA". It matches the Rfam family "Bacterial small subunit ribosomal RNA", at positions 521 to 896 of the family's 1533-position model. The record is from RNAcentral. Lineage: Bacteria; Deltaproteobacteria.